RNAcentral lists this ribosomal RNA (253 nucleotides) under uncultured bacterium. Its description in RNAcentral is "partial 16S ribosomal RNA". It matches the Rfam family "Bacterial small subunit ribosomal RNA", at positions 524 to 776 of the family's 1533-position model. The record is from RNAcentral.
UACGAAGGGGGCUAGCGUUGUUCGGAAUUACUGGGCGUAAAGCGCGCGUAGGCGGAUUUUUAAGUCAGAGGUGAAAUCCCGGGGCUCAACCCCGGAACUGCCUUUGAUACUGAUCGUCUCGAGAAUGGAAGAGGUAAGUGGAAUACCGAGUGUAGAGGUGAAAUUCGUAGAUAUUCGGAGGAACACCAGUGGCGAAGGCGGCUCACUGGCACGAUACUGACGCUGAGGUGCGAAAGCGUGGGGAGCAAACAGG